AAAUAAAAGUGGGCACUCAGAUGUUGUCAUCCAUUCAUUUAUGAAACACAAAAUGUGAACCUGCACUGAAUUUUCAUUUUUGCACAAUAUCUCCACCAAAUGUAUUUUUAAAAUGCAUGCAUACUUCCCAGUCCUUGGAACCACCCGGAACAGUAAUCUCCUGAACUUUAUUCCCUCAGUUUUUUGGAGAUGCCUAGUGUAAACCACUUAUUAUGAUGAUCAGCUCAUUCACAAGACCUGAUCAUCACUUCAGCUCAUCAGCUGCAUUUCUCUCUGCUCAGCAAAAAAAUGUUUUGUGUGACGUGCUUCUUUUUAUACUAACUUGGUUUAUUCCAAUUUUUACCCUUAAAAAGAGAAAAUACAUUAUCAAUGUCUACUAAAUAUCAACUGAGGAAAAAAGCUAAACAUGCCAAGCAAUCAAAGACUAAUGAAGAUCCAGGUAUUAAAUCAAUUAAGAAGUAUCAAAAGCUACCUAAUCAUCAAGGAACAGAAUUGGCACCACAAUAUGUAAUUGGCAUUUGGAUGAGUGUCCGAUAUGGAUUGUGGGGCACUCAUAUGUCUUUCACGGUGAAAGGUCUGGGUUGGAGUGCCUUCAGUCCCCUGAAGCGGAGCUGAUCAGGUGGAUCAAAAAUGUGGAUAAAAAGCAAUGGGCAAAGGACAGGACAAUGCACCCUGCUGGGAAGAAGUGAAGAGGACUUCAAAAAGGAAAGCCAAGGGGUCACCAGCACACUAGAAGCAGUGGAUAAGCCACUGCACUUACAGUAUAUACACCACUGAAUGCAUAUAUAACCGGCACUGCAUGGACAAUGGUAAAAGUAAGGUGAAUAUUGUCCUGCAUGAUAUAUGCUUGACUGAUGAUUAAGGAUCCCUGGUGUAAGAUUUGUACUUAAUUUAUCCUCCACCCCUAUACUUGUAUGAUGAUAUAGUCCUACCUAUGCCGUCCAAACAGCCUAAGUGAUAUGCCCUGCAUGGGUUCUCUAUAGUUUGUCACCAUUCGUCAUGUCGACACUCAUAAUGUUGACCUUAAAAUGUCAACAUAGCUGUAAUGUCAACAUGCAGUAUGUCAACAUCCAUUAUGUCAACACAGAUACAGUAAAUUGUUGACAUGAUUAGAAUGUUGACAAAACAUUUUUCCUGGUACAGUACCUGGUAGCGGAUCUCCUGCAGCUCCAAUGGAGUCUUCUGGAUUCUGGCGGUCAGGUAAUUGUCCUAUAGCCUAACUCUAACCUUUUCCCCCAGUGAAUAACCCUAACCCUCUGCUCUGUGCAGAAUGUCUACAUUUCCUUUUUUCGAUAUUUCACAUGUUCCCAUUCUGCAGUGUCAUUAUGUUCUAUGUCGACUUUUCAACAAUGUCUACAUCAUGAUUGUCGAUAUUAUAAUUGUAGAUAUUUAGAAUGUUGACAUAGUGACUGCAGGCUGUCCAGCACACUGUAAUCUUUUCAAUUUAAAUUGUAUGUAAUAAAAUACAUUGUUUAAGUUUGGGCUCUGUCUAAACUAAAUAAUAAGGGGCAAAAUUGGCCAUUUUGUUGUUGUAGAUUCAUGGUGAUGCUGCAUCCAGAAAGAAUAGUUGUAAUCAGGAACAGCCAUGCAUGUUGACAGUCUACUGUGAUAUGUUUUACACAGAAAAUUAAUUAAACAAUUAGAUUUCUUUAUAUGUUACAAUGGAUGAGAAAAAUAUGGAUCAGUCUGGAAGACACAAAUGUUACGCUACAGGUGACGUUUUUCUUUUCAUAAUUGAUUCUGGACGGCUCUAGAUCAUUCAUCAGACAAGCAAAUUAUAGGAAUGUAGCAAAUACUGUAGUUAAAUUAGUGUUUUAUGUCUACAGUAUAAUCAUACAGCUUAUUUUAACUGAACAUGUAUUCAUCCUUUAUAGCUGGUCAUUCCCUUAAUAACUACCUGCCGUCUUAACAUGUUUUUUUAUUUGUUUUUCUGAUUUUCCUUUUUUUAUUUACAUAAUUUAUAUUUAACAUUUUAAGAAAUAAACAUACAAAUCAAACAGAUAAAUACAAAAACACAGGCAUAACAAAACCAAUUGAUAAAA
Molecule: long non-coding RNA, 2042 nt
Organism: Pseudophryne corroboree (corroboree frog)
Lineage: Eukaryota; Metazoa; Chordata; Amphibia; Anura; Myobatrachidae
Exons: 3
Source: RefSeq, a predicted model, not a curated record